UGUAAAACCAGCUGCGUAAUGCAACCAACCUGUUUUUAUUACAUGACAACAGAGAUGAGCAGCCCUAAAUAAUUUUGUAGUGUAAUCUUUGUUGUUUAGUAAAAAUUGAUAUUUAAAUACCAUAAAUUGAAUUGGAAGUCUGAAAUCCAUCAUUUUAAUCUCACUAGUGAGUUUUAUUGUCUAAAAUAAUUUUAAAUGAACUUAUUUGUAUAAGAAAAUGGUUUACAUAAGUACAAAACAUCUAUAGCAUACUGGUUUUGGUAUUUGAUUUAACAUGUGAUUACACGUCCCACUAAAAAAUAAUGCAUUUUCUAUCUCCAGCUGUCUGCAAUGGAAGAGAAUUUAUUAACUUGUGUUGAAAAACAUUUGACUAAAUUUAGAACUCUUACCUACAAAAUGCAACCAAAUAUUUGACAACAUCAACACAAACGGUCCGUUUUGUCCAUAUGGCAAGUGAGUGUAAGACAGCAGCCUUCAGACUUUUUUUUGACAACUACUCAUUUAUGCUGACAGCAUCUGGUGGCUAACAAUUGCCUUUGUCCUCUUUAGCAAACAAGCCCCUGCCAUGCCUGAGUUUGGUGACAGAUGGCUCGCUUUGAGAGCCGCCCAGGAGCGCUCUCUUACAAAAGAUGUCAUUUCUUUACACAACUGUGCGUUUGAUUCUCAGCACGAACAUACUGUAUGGUGGCAGCACAGCCGUGCAAACGACAGCCUGCAAUCAAGGGCACACAUCUGUUCCUAUACCGGACAUGGUCGAGUGCAUGGAUUUAAAAAACUGAAACCAUAACCAAGACAUCAUCUAAAUGCAGAUACAAGCUCUAAUGCAAACAAACAAUACCACCACAGACUGUUGUCUGUGCCAGAUUGAGUGCACUUCCUCUGAAGUGGAGAACUGAACAAAGGCGUUUAAUCAGAAUUUGAUUAAUUCUAAUCUGGUUUCUUUCAAAGCAAUAAUUUCCUUGCUACUCGAUCAAUAAAGCAUUGCUCCUUGAAUGAGUUGCGGUCUUC
RNAcentral lists this long non-coding RNA (1008 nucleotides) under Betta splendens (Siamese fighting fish). RNAcentral's name for it is "lncRNA (ENSBSLG00000019810.1)". Lineage: Eukaryota; Metazoa; Chordata; Actinopteri; Anabantiformes; Osphronemidae. The record is from RNAcentral.